UACGUACCGUCCAAACGUUAUUCGGAAUUACUGGGCUUAAAGGGUAUGUAGGCGGCGCUGUUAGUCGGGUGUGAAAUCCCACGGCUCAACCGUGGAAUUGCGCCCGAUACUGCAGUGCUUGAGGGAGACAGAGGUAAGCGGAACUGAUGGUGGAGCGGUGAAAUGCGUUGAUAUCAUCAGGAACACCAGUGGCGAAAGCGGCUUACUGGGUCUCUUCUGACGCUGAGAUACGAAAGCCAGGGGAGCGAAGGGG
Molecule: ribosomal RNA, 253 nt
Filed under: uncultured bacterium
Lineage: Bacteria
Description: partial 16S ribosomal RNA
Rfam family: Bacterial small subunit ribosomal RNA
Source: RNAcentral